This 439-nucleotide ribosomal RNA is filed under the name uncultured bacterium. RNAcentral's name for it is "partial 16S ribosomal RNA". It matches the Rfam family "Bacterial small subunit ribosomal RNA", at positions 339 to 795 of the family's 1533-position model. The record is from RNAcentral.
CUACGGGAGGCACCAGAGAGGAAUAUUGCACAAUGGGGGGAACCCUGAUGCAGCAACGCCGCGUGGAGGAUGACGCAUUUCGGUGUGUAAACUCCUUUUAUAUGUCAAGAAAAUGACGGUAGCAUAUGAAUAAGCACCGGCUAACUCCGUGCCAGCAGCCGCGGUAAUACGGAGGGUGCAAGCGUUACUCGGAAUCACUGGGCGUAAAGGACGCGUAGGCGGGUUGGAAAGUCAGGUGUGAAAUCCUACAGCUUAACUGUAGAACUGCACUUGAAACUUCUAAUCUAGAGUAUGGGAGGGGGAGAUGGAAUUAGUGGUGUAGGGGUAAAAUCUGUAGAUAUCACUAGGAAUACCUAAAGCGAAGGCGAUCUCCUGGAACAUUACUGACGCUAAGGCGUGAAAGCGUGGGGAGCAAACAGGAUUAGAUACCCCUGUAGUC